AUUGAACGCUGGCGGCAGGCCUAACACAUGCAAGUCGAACGGAGCGGCGGACGGGUGAGUAAUGCCUAGGAAUCUGCCUGGUAGUGGGGGAGAACGUCCGGAAACGGGCGCUAAUACCGCAUACUAGCCGAUGAGACUAGGUCGGAUUAGCUAGUUGGUGGGGUAAAGGCCUACCAAGGCGACGCUCCUUAACUGGUCUGAGAGGAUGAUCAGCCACACUGGAACUGAGACACGGUCCAGACUCCUACGGGAGGCAGCAGUGGGGAAUAUUGGACAAUGGGCGAAAGCCUGAUCCAGCCAUGCCGCGUGUGUGAAGAAGGUCUUCGGAUUGUAAAGCACUUUAAGUGGGGAGGCGUUACUAGCAGAAUAAGCACCGGCUAACUCCGUGCCAGCAGCCGCGGUAAUAC
RNAcentral lists this ribosomal RNA (407 nucleotides) under uncultured bacterium. Its description in RNAcentral is "partial 16S ribosomal RNA". It matches the Rfam family "Bacterial small subunit ribosomal RNA", at positions 30 to 526 of the family's 1533-position model. The record is from RNAcentral.